Molecule: RNA transcript, 1664 nt
Organism: Micropterus dolomieu (smallmouth bass)
Lineage: Eukaryota; Metazoa; Chordata; Actinopteri; Centrarchiformes; Centrarchidae
Gene name: survival motor neuron protein-like
Exons: 11
Source: RefSeq, a predicted model, not a curated record
GCUGCCCCUCCGGACAGGUGAGUGUCCGCAGGUGUUGUUGUCGCGGGUAAAUCUUUGUGUUUGGGAGAUGAUUGUUCCUCCGGCUGCUGACAGCUAUGGCUGAACGGGCUGAACGGGCUGAACGGACAGAACUCACGGUUCUCUGCGGACCCGCGGACCCGGAGGCCGUUAACGUCGCUGUUGACGCCGAACUUCCUCUCAUAGAAGGUUUGGAAAUAAUCCCGGAACUUUCACAGGAUGUUGAGCCGCCAGAAUGUGCAGCCUCAGAGGAGACGGACAUCAGAGAGACGCCGGAGCAGGGAGACAAAAACGCACAGGUGGACGGACAGACGGUCUCUGCACCUGCAGAUGAAUCCUCCAGUACCAAAUCAAAGUGGGCCGUGGGCGCCCAGUGUCGGGCGGCGUGGUCGGAGGACGGGCGGGUGUACCCGGCGACGGUGGUGUCUCUGGACGGAGAACGCUGCAGAGUCCGUUUCAGCGGCUACGGCAACGAGGAGGACGUGGAACUGAGCGCGCUCAAAAGUCCAGACGCUGCUCUGCGAACACAGAGAGAAAACUCCCAGGACUGGAAACCGGGUUCUCUGUGUCGGGCCGUGUACUCGGAGGACGGCCUGGUUUAUCCGGCUGUCGUCCUGUGGGUCAAAGGUCAGCGCUGCCGUAUUCGCUUCGACAACUACAACAACGAGGAGGAACAGGACGUCGGCCGCCUGCUGAACCCCGACGAGCUCCACGGUCCCAGCAGAGCCGCUGCAGCCAAGGGCCGCGACUGGAAGUCCAGCGUAACCAGCAGCAAGGAGAGAGAGGGAGGAGGAGAGAGGAGGUCAGCGGGGAGAGGUGAUGAGCAGAAGUUCUCCUGGCAGGUUACAGAGAAACCCGGCAGAGUGGAAAAGGAAGAGAAGAAGAAGAAGAAGAAAGGAGACCAGCAGGGAGACGGAGCAGAGAAAUCGACCAAUCACAGCUUUCCAUUCUUCCCUCCGUUUCCUCCUCCUCCUCAGUCGGCCUCGGGGGGCCCCAUGUCCUUCAUCCCUCCUCCUCCUCCUCUCUGGACGUUUGGCGCGAAAGAGUCCGCCACUCCUCCGGCCGUCAACGCCACCUCCAGCAUGUUGAUGCUGUGGUACAUGUGUGGCUUCCACACAGGCAGCUACAUGGCUCAGCAGGAGUUCAUGUCCAAAGACUGAGCCUGAGUUAAAGCAGCAGAAAGGUGCGUUUACUGUCCGGCUGAAGUCGCGUGAUGGAGGUGUGGAGUUUGUCUGUGCCCUGAUAUUAAUUAAUGUGAAAAUUCAACUUGGAAACGGCUGAUUUACACAGAAACAACCAGUUACUAAACGCAGUAACAGCGAGCGUCUUUAAAAGGCUUCAACAGGAAACAGAAUCUAUUAAUCAUAUUAACUGUAGUUUCUUUUGCUUUCUGCUUCAGAGCCAGAGAGGAUUAUGGGCCAGGCUGGGACGAUCCUCUUUCUUUCACGGUUUACAUUUGUUUAAAAUAUUUUUAAGAUCCUUUUUAUUUGUUCUUAUUUGAAAGGUCCAUCAUUUAGAAACCGCUGUGUUGUUUAGUUUGUGUUCAGAGACGUUUGUGUGUUUCAGUGUUUCUGUUUGUCAUUUAAAACCCAAAAAAAAGGUGGAUAACAUGAAUCUCUUUGUUGACAAUAAACGUUGGUAUGGUC